This 429-nucleotide ribosomal RNA is filed under the name Triticum aestivum (bread wheat). RNAcentral describes it as "partial small subunit ribosomal RNA". Lineage: Eukaryota; Viridiplantae; Streptophyta; Magnoliopsida; Poales; Poaceae. The record is from RNAcentral.
AUGCGAAGGACAUCAUCGGAAGGACUCAUGGACUGCAAGAUGCUGCCAAUCAAUAACAACCACGGUGCAGGGGUUGCAAUGAUAAUGGGCCCAAACUUCUUAGCACGCAAGAACUACCAGCAAAGUUCACCUGAGGAUUUGGCCCUGGCAACAAUGUUGGUGAGACCGGGAAACCUGUUCAUGGAGGAUCCGGUGAUGAAGGAUGCAAGCCUGCUCACCGAUACCAACUACGGGUCGGUGAAGAAGGUAUAUGUGGUAGCAAAGGCUGAUGGCUCCAGCACCGAGGAGAUGCAGCGUUGGAUGGUGUUGUUGAGCCCCGGCACGGAGGCCGAGGAGAUCGCGGGAGCUGACCACGCCAUCAUGAGCUCAAGGCCUAGGGAGCUCUGUGAUGCUCUGGUCAAGAUCGCCGACAGCUUAAAUACUUGCUAA